UUAAAUUGAAGAGUUUGAUCAUGGCUCAGAUUGAACGCUGGCGGCAGGCCUAACACAUGCAAGUCGAACGGUAGCACAGAGAGCUUGCUCUCG
This 93-nucleotide ribosomal RNA is filed under the name Salmonella enterica subsp. enterica serovar Infantis. RNAcentral describes it as "partial 16S ribosomal RNA". It matches the Rfam family "Bacterial small subunit ribosomal RNA", at positions 1 to 88 of the family's 1533-position model. The record is from RNAcentral. RNAcentral also lists the same sequence under 5 other names. Lineage: Bacteria; Pseudomonadati; Pseudomonadota; Gammaproteobacteria; Enterobacterales; Enterobacteriaceae.